This is a small nuclear RNA of Coffea eugenioides, 107 nucleotides long. Lineage: Eukaryota; Viridiplantae; Streptophyta; Magnoliopsida; Gentianales; Rubiaceae. The record is from RefSeq and is a predicted model, not a curated record.
GCCAAACCUUCAGUGGACUCUUGAUCAAAUUGGAACGAUUCAAAGACGAUUAGCAUGGCCCUUGUGCAAGGAUCACACGCGCAAAUUGAGAAGUGGUCCAAAUUUGU